Non-coding RNA from Trichodelitschia bisporula, 85 nucleotides. The record is from the annotation of a GenBank genome assembly. NCBI's taxonomy places the organism in Eukaryota, Fungi, Ascomycota, Dothideomycetes, Phaeotrichales, Phaeotrichaceae.
GCCUGGGUAGCUCAAUCGGUAGAGCGUGUGACUCUUACACCAAGGGAUUAUCUCAAGGUCGCGGGUUCGAGCCCCGCCUCGGGCU